UGCUUCUCUGAUGUUAGCGGCGGACGGGUGAGUAACACGUGGAUAACCUACCUAUAAGACUGGGAUAACUUCGGGAAACCGGAGCUAAUACCGGAUAAUAUUUUGAACCGCAUGGUUCAAAAGUGAAAGACGGUCUUGCUGUCACUUAUAGAUGGAUCCGCGCUGCAUUAGCUAGUUGGUAAGGUAACGGCUUACCAAGGCAACGAUGCAUAGCCGACCUGAGAGGGUGAUCGGCCACACUGGAACUGAGACACGGUCCAGACUCCUACGGGAGGCAGCAGUAGGGAAUCUUCCGCAAUGGGCGAAAGCCUGACGGAGCAACGCCGCGUGAGUGAUGAAGGUCUUCGGAUCGUAAAACUCUGUUAUUAGGGAAGAACAUAUGUGUAAGUAACUGUGCACAUCUUGACGGUACCUAAUCAGAAAGCCACGGCUAACUACGUGCCAGCAGCCGCGGUAAUACGUAGGUGGCAAGCGUUAUCCGGAAUUAUUGGGCGUAAAGCGCGCGUAGGCGGUUUUUUAAGUCUGAUGUGAAAGCCCACGGCUCAACCGUGGAGGGUCAUUGGAAACUGGAAAACUUGAGUGCAGAAGAGGAAAGUGGAAUUCCAUGUGUAGCGGUGAAAUGCGCAGAGAUAUGGAGGAACACCAGUGGCGAAGGCGACUUUCUGGUCUGUAACUGACGCUGAUGUGCGAAAGCGUGGGGAUCAAACAGGAUUAGAUACCCUGGUAGUCCACGCCGUAAACGAUGAGUGCUAAGUGUUAGGGGGUUUCCGCCCCUUAGUGCUGCAGCUAACGCAUUAAGCACUCCGCCUGGGGAGUACGACCGCAAGGUUGAAACUCAAAGGAAUUGACGGGGACCCGCACAAGCGGUGGAGCAUGUGGUUUAAUUCGAAGCAACGCGAAGAACCUUACCAAAUCUUGACAUCCUUUGACAACUCUAGAGAUAGAGCUUUCCCCUUCGGGGGACAAAGUGACAGGUGGUGCAUGGUUGUCGUCAGCUCGUGUCGUGAGAUGUUGGGUUAAGUCCCGCAACGAGCGCAACCCUUAAGCUUAGUUGCCAUCAUUAAGUUGGGCACUCUAAGUUGACUGCCGGUGACAAACCGGAGGA
This 1105-nucleotide ribosomal RNA is filed under the name Staphylococcus aureus. RNAcentral describes it as "bacterial SSU rRNA". It matches the Rfam family "Bacterial small subunit ribosomal RNA", at positions 79 to 1170 of the family's 1533-position model. Lineage: Bacteria; Bacillati; Bacillota; Bacilli; Caryophanales; Staphylococcaceae. The record is from RNAcentral.